ACUACGGGAGGCAGCAGUGAGGAAUAUUGGUCAAUGGGCGGGAGCCUGAACCAGCCAAGCCGCGUGAAGGAAGAAGGCGCCAAGCGUCGUAAACUUCUUUUGUCGGGGAACAAAGGGCGCCACGUGUGGCGUUGUUAGUGUACCCGACGAACAAGCAUCGGCUAACUCCGUGCCAGCAGCCGCGGUAAUACGGGGGAUGCGAGCGUUAUCCGGAUUUAUUGGGUUUAAAGGGUGCGUAGGCGGUCCGGAAAGUCAGCGGUAAAAGCCCGGGGCUCAACCCCGGCGAGCCGUUGAAACUGGCGGACUAGAGACGGCGAGAGGUACGCAGAAUGCGCGGUGUAGCGGUGAAAUGCAUAGAUAUCGCGCAGAACACCGAUUGCGAAGGCAGCGUACCGGCGCCGGACUGACGCUGAGGCACGAAAGCGUGGGUAGCGAACAGGAUUAGAUACCCGGGUAGUC
This 459-nucleotide ribosomal RNA is filed under the name uncultured bacterium. RNAcentral describes it as "partial 16S ribosomal RNA". It matches the Rfam family "Bacterial small subunit ribosomal RNA", at positions 338 to 795 of the family's 1533-position model. The record is from RNAcentral.